GACGAACGCUGGCGGCGUGCCUAACACAUGCAAGUCAAGGAGAAUUCCCGACUUGUCGGGAUAGUAAACUGGCGAACGGGUGAGUAACACGUAGGUAAUCUACCCUCGGGAUCGGGAUAACCUCGCGAAAGUGGGGAUAAUACCGAAUAAAGUCUCGGUAUAAUUUGUCGAGAUGAAAGAUGGGGAUCUUCGGACCUAUUACCUGAGGAUGAGCCUGCGCCUGAUUAGCUAGUUGGUAGGGUAAAUGCCUACCAAGGCAACGAUCAGUAGCUGGUCUGAGAGGAUGAUCAGCCACAUUGGGACUGAGAUACGGCCCAGACUCCUACGGGAGGCAGCAGUGAGGAAUUUUGCGCAAUGGGCGAAAGCCUGACGCAGCAACGCCGCGUGACUGAUUAAGCUCUGAGGAGUGUAAAAGUCUGUCGUAGAGGAAGAAACUAUCCGAUAAGAAUAUUGUCGGAUACUGACGGUACUCUAUGAGAAAGCUCCGG
RNAcentral lists this ribosomal RNA (488 nucleotides) under uncultured bacterium. Its description in RNAcentral is "bacterial SSU rRNA". It matches the Rfam family "Bacterial small subunit ribosomal RNA", at positions 28 to 496 of the family's 1533-position model. The record is from RNAcentral.